CAACAAAUGUAUUAUACAGCAACAAAGAUCACAUACAGAGGAGUUUUAUCAAGAUCUUCGACUUAAGUCAAGACAAUACUCAGAUUCCAGACAACUCAAAAGGUUUCUUGACAAAGGAAUUGCCAAGAGAGUCUCAAAUCUAUGGAUCUUAGCCAAAUUUAUCGAAAAUCUUAAAGUAUAAAUGCAUUAUAUGUACAAUAAAAUGUAAACUGGAACAUUAUAUGUACAAUAAAAUGUAAACUGGAACGAAGUCUCCAAAGUCCCUUGACUAGGGUUUCAAGAAAUAACAGCAAACCACUGGAUUAGGUGUGUAGUGUUUUAGAUCUAUGCAAUCGAAGCCAUGAACCACAUUCUUACAGCUCUGAUACAACUGUUUGGAUUAUGUUUAUUCGAUUAGUCGAUAAUAUUAACGAAAUACAGAAUAUAAAUGUGCAAGAAAAUGAAAAACUGUAAGAACACAGAAUUUUCAUCCUAAGGCAAGAGGUUUAGAAUAAGCUCUUAAUACCUUUUUGUGCCUCCACCACCGGAAGAAAUCACUACAUUAACCGGAAUCAAAAUACCGUUCAAAAUUACAAUAUAGCCUCAAGAACCCAGAAAUCACUCAAGAUUACAGUAAACCCUCUUAAACACGAGAAACCCAUUUCACUCAAGAGCUAUACAUGAAAUCACCAAAACUACAAAUCACUCAAGACUUGUAAUACAUGAUCUCAUAUUGAAGAUGAAGUAUCUUCAAAGUUUACACUCAAGAAGGAACUAGAGAGGCACUCAGUUAUUCAGAGAGAAGAAAGAAUCACCAUAGACAAAUGACCCAAAAACAAUAAUGAAGAAGUCUCAAAAUGCCAAAACCAAGUAAAUAGAAGUCACCAGAAGGUCGCCAAUCCAACGGCUGAGGAGGCAACACAUGGCAUCAUCUAGAUCACUUGGUCAACUAACAAAAAUGUAUUUCU
This 947-nucleotide long non-coding RNA is filed under the name Olea europaea (common olive). Its description in RNAcentral is "long non-coding RNA (OEUR_LNC015543)". The record is from RNAcentral. Lineage: Eukaryota; Viridiplantae; Streptophyta; Magnoliopsida; Lamiales; Oleaceae.